RNAcentral lists this transfer RNA (85 nucleotides) under Deltaproteobacteria bacterium HGW-Deltaproteobacteria-15. Its description in RNAcentral is "tRNA-Leu". It matches the Rfam family "tRNA". Rfam says of the family: Transfer RNA (tRNA) molecules are approximately 80 nucleotides in length. Their secondary structure includes four short double-helical elements and three loops (D, anti-codon, and T loops). The record is from RNAcentral. Lineage: Bacteria; Deltaproteobacteria. RNAcentral also lists the same sequence under 2 other names.
GCCUGGGUGGCGGAACGGGUAGACGCAAGGGACUUAAAAUCCCUCGGGGCCUAGCCCUGUACGAGUUCAAGUCUCGUCCCAGGCA